AACGUAGGACACAAGCGUUAUCCGGAAUUACUGGGCGUAAAGGGAGUGCAGGCGGUUGCGUAAGUUAGGCGUGAAAGACUUCGGCUAAACCUGGGAACUGCGUCUGAUACUGGAAGGCUUGAGUGCGGGAGAGGGAUGUGGAAUUCCAGGUGUAGCGGUGAAAUGCGUAGAUAUCUGGAGGAACACCGGUGGCGAAGGCGGCAUCCUGGACCGACACUGACGCUGAGGCGCGAAAGCUAGGGUAGCAAACGGG
Molecule: ribosomal RNA, 253 nt
Filed under: uncultured bacterium
Lineage: Bacteria
Description: partial 16S ribosomal RNA
Rfam family: Bacterial small subunit ribosomal RNA
Source: RNAcentral